UGUGCCGCCGGACGGUGGGUGCCGAGAGACGUUGGGGAGCGUCAGUGACCGUCACCCGCUGGAAGCCGGGACGCGGACCAGGGACCGCGACCGAGCGCUCGGCGAGGGAG
Molecule: non-coding RNA, 110 nt
Submitted as: unclassified sequences
Source: Rfam